Molecule: ribosomal RNA, 478 nt
Filed under: uncultured bacterium
Lineage: Bacteria
Description: partial 16S ribosomal RNA
Rfam family: Bacterial small subunit ribosomal RNA
Source: RNAcentral
GAUUAACGCUGGCGGCGUGCAUAACACAUGCAAGUCGAACGAUGAAACUUUACUGACUUCUUCGGAAUGAUUUAAAGCGGAUUAGUGGCGAACGGGUGAGUAACGCGUGAGUAACCUGCCUUACACAAGGGGAUAGCCUCUGGAAACGGAGAAUAAUACCCUAUGAAACCAGACAAUCGCAUGAUAAUCUGGUCAAAAUGUUUAGUGGUGUAAGAUGGACUUGCGUCUGAUUAGCUAGUUGGUGAGAUAAAAGCUCACCAAGGCAACGAUCAGUAGCCGGCUUGAGAGAGUGUACGGACACAUUGGGACUGAGACACGGCCCAGACUCCUACGGGAGGCAGCAGUGGGGAAUUUUGCACAAUGGGGGAAACCCUGAUGCAGCGACGCCGCGUGAUUUAGAAGGCCUUCGGGUUGUAAAAAUCUUUUGUAUAGGAAGAAAAUGACAGUACUAUACGAAUAAGGUCCGGCUAAUUACGUG